This 2285-nucleotide long non-coding RNA is filed under the name Gallus gallus (chicken). RNAcentral describes it as "lncRNA (ENSGALG00010006148.1)". Lineage: Eukaryota; Metazoa; Chordata; Aves; Galliformes; Phasianidae. The record is from RNAcentral.
UUCUGUCAGAAAUGUAUGUCUUCCUUAUUAUUUCUCUGCUUAUUUUCGUACUAUGCAUGGUGAUAUCUUGUCAGGAGAUGGAGAUCCCUUUGCAUGAGGUAUUAGGCAUACAUUUCUUUAAUAGUCCCAGAAGGUUGAAUAUUCUCUUUAUGCACUGCGUUUUCCUGAGAUUAAGAGAGCUAUUAAAUCCACAGACCAAAUGAAAUUGGGAAGAAAGGAAAGAAAAGAAAAAAAAACAGUAAUGCUCAUAAAUGUGAGAAUCUACAUAAUUUCCAAUGCUUCUGUUUGCACCUCCUUUACAUCCAAUAACUCUUCUUUCAAGGUAAUUUUUUUGUGUGCUGCAAUUCAAAUAUUUCUCUUCUGCCAACAGCUGAUAAAGUAAGGAAUAAUAAAGAAGACAAUUACCCGCAUAAGAAAGAGGACUAGUUCUAAGGAAAAAUACUUUAACUGUAUGAACUCUUUAUGUGGUGCAACCCAGUUCUUGCCAUUUUAUGCUCUUUUAAGGUGGAGGCUCUUAAAAAAUUAGAUGCAACGAAUGAUAUAACCAGAGCUAGAGAUCUUUGUGUUAAUAUUAAUUAAAGCCAUUUUGCAUUGUCCCCAAAGUUUUAGUGUUCAGUGUACAGCAGAUUUUUCUAUUAAUACCGCAGUACACACUUCUGUAGCUGCAGUGCAGACUGUCUGGCUACAUCUCAAGCAUUUCAGAAAAGGCAGUUGGAAAGGGAGGGUAGAAAUUUCCUGCUGAACAGUAAUAACAGUAAUAACCUGUGCCUGAGGGUUCCAGUAAGGGCUGAUCUAUCCCAGUUCCCUAAAAGCAUCAGAGAGCUCUGUCCAGAGAAAGCUCCCAAAAUCUGAGUGUCAGUCAUACAAAUCAUCCCAGUUCUGUGUGAUUCUAGGAAGCAUCGUUACAGCUGUGCCUUCCCGCAGCUGUGUGAACCGGUUUGAGCUGCUUCCAUGUUAAGAUGGCUAUGAGCUAGAGCUGCUGCUGGGAGAUGGGCUGCGCGUAGUGUCUCAAUGGGCAGCAGUGGCCUUCAGUUUAUUAACUGACCCUGAAUCAUUACCAAAUGUAUCUAUACUUAUUCACUAGGACUUUUUUUUAUUACUCCAACGUGAAAAAAAUAAAUUACAGCACUGAUGUGAGUUGUGGUUUUUGUUUUUAAUUCACUUCCAAACAUAAGCCAUCAAAAAUGAAUACAGAAAACUGUAGAAUGAUUCUGAAGUGAAAAUCAUGUUUCUGCAGGUUUCAUUAUGGGAACAAGCAUCUGGACAUAUUUCAGAUAUUUAGAAUAAACUCACAUUUCUAAAACUGCUAGUAUUUAUUUACGAAGCCACAGAUUUUCAAACUUGCUCUAUGAGAAAUAAAAGAGUUAACAACAGUGAGACAUCAUGUAGCAUUGCAAAACCCCUAAUUGCAAAGGGAAAUUGAAAGGCUAAGUCAUAGUUAUGGAUUUAAGAAUAUGGUGUCAAAAUGCAAUAGAACUGUAAUGUAUACUUUCAAGGAAAUCAGGGCAGGUGAUGCACCAAAUAAGGCAGUGUUUCCAUUCCAGCUACUCACACUGGCUGUGGUGACUGCAUUAACAUGUGCUAUUAUGACUCUUGUGAAAAAAUGGUGAUAAAGACCACAGUAAUAUGGUGUGUGAAAGAAAAACAGUAUGAUAUUAACUCUUUUUUCAUCCAUUAAAAAGCAUAGGAGACCUGAUGGAGAACAAAGAACUAUUAUAUUAACUUUAAAAAUAAACUUCUAGCAUCAGGCAAAUGAGAUUAUCUCAGAUUUAUUCUGUCACAAUAUUUUCCAGCAGUCCACUAUAUUCAAAUCUGCUGAACAAUGUAAGUAAGCAGUCACUUGUAGGUUAUUUGUCAGUGUAAUAUGAACGUGAAGCAUUUGAAGAGAACUUGCUACUCCUCUACCGAAAUGACUACAUAGUUUACAAUUCCGAUGGUGUAUCCCAUGCGACUGUUUAGCAAACUGUGUAUUGUUUGAGUGAAAUAACAUCCCUGCUAAGGAAAAUGAGAACUUUGUCACUGACUGCAGAAAAAGAUUUUCACUAUAAUCAGGCUGAGAAAAUAAGUCCUUAUUAUGGAAAUUACUCAUAUUCUAUGCCUUUCUGAUUUUUAGUAAGACAACAAAAUUAUCCAUAUAGAGUUGACAUUACUGUCUUCACCUGUGUGUCCAAAUUUUACUUCAAAGCAGUCGCAGUUCAUGCCCGUCUUCCCCAGAGCUGAGGUCUCUAUACUGUCGAGAAGGUGAAGAAAGUCACAUGGAUUUGCCCAUAGCUUGAAGUCUACAU